AUUCAACAGGAUUUUACCGUUUGAGGGGACUCCUACCCGAUACUACUUAUGUGAUUAAAGUAGCAAGGAAAGUUGCAUCUGGUGGAGCUAUGAUUGAGCGUGCAUCUCCUGAGUUUCUGACCGUUCAGGUGAACGCUGAGGACUCUAGGGGAUUAGAUUUUGUAGUAUUUGAACAGCCAGAGAGGACAAUUAUAAGUGGCCAUGUUGAAGGGCAUAAAAUCAAAGAGUUCAACUCACAUCUCCAUGUGGAGAUCAAGUCUGCUGCUGAUCCGUCAAAGAUUGAGUACAACUCUCCACUUCCCCUCUCAAACUUUUUCCAGGUGAAGGACUUGCCUAAGGGUAAAUACCUUGUACAGCUGAGAUCAUCUCUGCCUUCAAGGACUCACAAAUUUGAAUCAGAUGUUAUUGAGGUUGAUUUAGAGAAAAAUUCUCAAAUUCAUGUGGGUCCACUCAAGUACAAAAUCGAUUUCAAUCACCAGAAACAGGAUUUAACUCCAGCUCCUGUGUACCCUCUAUUUGUUGGAGUUUCUGUGAUUGCACUUUUCAUUGGGAUGCCAAGAUUGAAGGAUUUAUACCAAGUGAUGAUGGGAAUGUCUUCAUCAGUAGUGUCAGCAAAGAAAGAAGUGAAAAGACCUCUAGUGAGAAAGAAAACAUACUGAGGAAUGGAUCUACUUUUUAGAGGAGCUUCAAUGCUUACUUAGGUAGGUGACAUGAAUGAUCUAUAAGAGCUGAUGUAGUUUUUAUUUGUCCAUCGAUUCAAGCAAAUCUUCACUCACACAAGGAUCUCCUCCCUCGCCUCACAGCAACCCUCUACUACGAUACUGAAUCUUCAUUUGUUAGUCGUUAGCGCUUCAAAUUUUGACAAUUUUAACCUCAAUAUAUUUAUUAUACCUAUGCCAAUUUUUGGGAUGGUUUCAGUAAAUUAUGUUUUUGUGAUUCCAUCCAUAUUUAGCUUUUGUAACUACUGCCCA
RNAcentral lists this unclassified non-coding RNA (971 nucleotides) under Hevea brasiliensis (rubber tree). The record is from RNAcentral. Lineage: Eukaryota; Viridiplantae; Streptophyta; Magnoliopsida; Malpighiales; Euphorbiaceae.